CAGUAAGUAGUUUAUUAAAAAUUUAGGUUUUGGGGAUUUAAGAUGCUUGUUAGUUUUACUGA
This 62-nucleotide transfer RNA is filed under the name Koreocerus koreanus. Its description in RNAcentral is "tRNA-Pro". Lineage: Eukaryota; Metazoa; Arthropoda; Insecta; Hemiptera; Cicadellidae. The record is from RNAcentral.